UGGUGACUGUUUCAAGAGGAUUUCAGACUAUUGGCAAGCACAUGAUAACAGACUGUGGGCAUUUGCCUCUGAAUAAUUCCUUGAAUUCGCAUGAAAAAUGUACAGGUGAUUCAAUUUGUUGUAGGAGAUUGCUGGAAGAAAAGAGAAGGCAGCAACUCCAAUGAAGCAGAGGACUACAGAGGGUGUGGGACAGGCUAAUUCCUAGUAUUGUGGCUGUUAUGAAGACAGCUAGGGCCAAUCUGCCCACUUUUGAUUUCAUUUACACUAAUUUAUGAGGACAAUGAAAUCCAAAACAUUAAGGUGAAAAUGUUCUUCCAACCAAAUGCUCCUUUUUGAUGACUGUGUCUUUCCUUUGUAGCUAAUCCCUUGUUUUUACAACGAUGCCAAGCACACUUGCUGGGCAAACUUCCCUCUUUCUUAGGGACAUGGUUUAGUGGGCAGUAUCACUGGUAUGUGAACAACUGGACCUAGAUGAUCUCAGAGGUCUUUCCAACCUUAAUGCUUCUAUGAUUCCAUUCUAUGAUUUUUCAUCUGAAUGUGACUAUGUCACAGCUCCUUUAUGAGCUGGAACGGAGGACAGCACUGAGCUCUGCUCUCAGCAGUAGGGUUUAGGUGGUGCUGUGUGGAGCCUGGGGUUGGACUCUAUGAUCCCUGUGGGUCCUCUCCAACUCAUGAUAUUCCAUGAUUCUAUGAAGCGAAAGUACCCCCCAAUUUAUUGUUCAAAGUGAUAAAGAACUUCAGAUGAGUGGUCACGAGGCUUUGCAGUGCUCUCAGAAAACAAUCAGCCAAGAGUGGAGCAAAGGUUAAUUUUUCCAGUUAAAGAAGUCUCUGCCUGGCUCUGGAGGAAAGCAUGAAAAACUUUGCUUCAAUUUGCAGAUUUGAAGCAGUUCAGAAGUGCUGCAUUUAUUUUUUGUAAGGAAAGCCAUGACGUAAUGAUACAAGCACCACAGCUCAAUACUGGAAAGCUAUAAGGCCUGUGAGGUUUGAGAACAAAAAGAGUUGGCCAAAGGAAAAAGAACUUACAGUAACAGUAACAGCUGCAGGGCUCCACUUACUGAAUUACAGCUACAGGGAUAGACACCUUGAGGGGCUGCUAUGCAUGAGCCUCAUCUGAACCGCCUGAUUCAGUAUGAGGAAGCAGAACAAAGUACUUUUCCCUUCUCCAUCACCACUGAAGUUAUGCUGGAUUGCAGGACGGCAAGAGCAAAGCAACAGAAACAACAGCAGAAAGGUGGAGAAUGGAGGUGGCUAAAGCCAGUAUUAGCGUUAGUAAUAGACUUCAAUUCCAUGAGGCAAUUUUCAGAAGUUUGCCAUUAAAUAGUUAUUUUUAAAAUGUCUGGUGUUUAAUCCUGUAGUUUCAAUACUGUAUCUGGCAAGCAAGCAAACCAGGCAAUCAGACCUUAAUCUUUCUGCCCUGCUGCUGACCCUUGAGAAAGAUCAAGACAAGCUCUUUAAUCCUCUCUCUUUUUACUUUUGCUUCUGUAACUUACAUUUCUAUAUAUUUAGCAGAGCUUCCUCUACUCCUAGCUCAUUUGUCAAUCAUUACUUGAGGCUGCAGAUGCAAUUCAAACAACAGAGAGGAAAACAAGCACUGAA
This is a non-coding RNA of Coturnix japonica (Japanese quail), 1596 nucleotides long. The record is from RefSeq and is a predicted model, not a curated record. NCBI's taxonomy places the organism in Eukaryota, Metazoa, Chordata, Aves, Galliformes, Phasianidae.